CAAAAUUCUCUCAUCGUUGCUUUGUUUUGAUGUGGACUUGACCGAUCAAUUCCCGAAGUGACCAAAACGAUCACCUUUACUUUGCCGGAUAUUGCGGUUGCCGGACCCGGAACCGAAAGAUGCCGAACAGAAGCUUGAAACGCCUAAAACUCCCUCGAAACAAGUACAUCGUCCAGUCCAAAAGGAUGCGUCGCCAACUUGAGAGCAAGCGGAACACCCAAGGGAACCACACCGUAAAAGAAAUCAAGUGAAGAGGGGGAAUUCCUAACGACUGGUCAUGUCGACUCUGGGAGUUCGAAUUCCACGGCAGAUGACAAAAACAAGUCGCAUACAUUUCCCAUCUGCGUGAGGAGAGAAUACCUCGAUGACGCCCAUUUCUGUGAAAGAUGCCUCACUGGAUGAUAUUCUUCAAGACGGGUACCAAAUCGUGGAGUCAAGUGGUGAAUAGAUCUGAUAAAGGAGAAGGAAAAUGUUUUCAGUAUGAUGACGAUGAUGAAUUUUCGCCUCCCUCAUUGAUCCACUCACUGAAGAAACCCAUCGGUAGAAAAGUGGAAGUGGACCAGGUAUCAGUCGGCUGACUUGAUGGACAUUGAGAUUCGAGCAGAAGUGGAAGACUAUCAGCAAAGGAAGACCAAAAGAGCAAAAAUAAUAUGAGAAGAAUCAAUAAGAAAAAAUAAAAUUAGAUUUAGUAAUAAUCCUA
Aedes albopictus (Asian tiger mosquito) is the source of this 700-nucleotide long non-coding RNA. RefSeq lists it as uncharacterized. NCBI's taxonomy places the organism in Eukaryota, Metazoa, Arthropoda, Insecta, Diptera, Culicidae. The transcript has 2 exons. The record is from RefSeq and is a predicted model, not a curated record.